Molecule: ribosomal RNA, 253 nt
Filed under: uncultured bacterium
Lineage: Bacteria
Description: partial 16S ribosomal RNA
Rfam family: Bacterial small subunit ribosomal RNA
Source: RNAcentral
UACGUAGGGGGCUAGCGUUGUCCGGAAUCAUUGGGCGUAAAGCGCGUGUAGGCGGUUCGGUAAGUCCGCUGUGAAAGUCGGGGGCUCAACCCUCGAAAGCCGGUGGAUACUGUCGGGCUAGAGUACGGAAGAGGCGAGUGGAAUUCCUGGUGUAGCGGUGAAAUGCGCAGAUAUCAGGAAGAACACCUAUGGCGAAGGCAGCUCUCUGGGACGGUACUGACGCUGAGACGCGAAAGCGUGGGGAGCGAACAGG